RNAcentral lists this ribosomal RNA (292 nucleotides) under uncultured bacterium. RNAcentral's name for it is "partial 16S ribosomal RNA". It matches the Rfam family "Bacterial small subunit ribosomal RNA", at positions 505 to 796 of the family's 1533-position model. The record is from RNAcentral.
GUGUCAGCAGCCGCGGUAAUACGGAGGGUGCGAGCGUUAUCCGGAAUUACUGGGUUUAAAGGGUGCGUAGGCGGCUAAGUAAGUCAGAAGUGAAAGUUUGCGGCUCAACCGUAAAAUUGCUUUUGAUACUGCUUAGCUGGAAUUAGGAUGAGGUCAGCGGAAUGUGGCAUGUAGCGGUGAAAUGCAUAGAUAUGCCAUAGAACACCAAUUGCGAAGGCAGCUGGCUAGACCUAUAUUGACGCUGAGGCACGAAAGCGUGGGGAGCGAACAGGAUUAGAUACCCGUGUAGUCC